Molecule: long non-coding RNA, 830 nt
Filed under: Nicotiana benthamiana
Lineage: Eukaryota; Viridiplantae; Streptophyta; Magnoliopsida; Solanales; Solanaceae
Description: long non-coding RNA (NBEN_LNC024467)
Source: RNAcentral
CUUGUGCUUCAUGCAUGGCCCCAUAACUGGUGCAACUGCACGGCGUCUACUAGAGACACCUCUACCUGAGAUUCCUAAACCAGAAUUACCAAAAGUUCCAACCUUGCCAAAGCCUGAGAUCCCAACUGUGCCGAAACCUGAGAUUCCAGCCAUUCCAAAGCCUGAGAUCCCAACUGUGCCGAAACCUGAGCUUCCAACCAUCCCAAAGCCUGAAAUACCAGUUGUCCCGAAGCCUGAGACUCCUAUUAUGCCAAAACCUGAAGUACCAAUUGUGCCAAAGCCCGAGCUACCAUCCAUCCCGAAGCCUGAGUUACCAACUUUACCAAAGCCUGAAGUACCAACUGCGCCAAACCCUGAGCUACCAACCAUCCAAAAACAUGAGUUACCAACUUUGCCAAAACCUGAAGUACCAACUGUGCCUAAGCCAGAGACUGUCCCGAAGCCUGAGAUUCCUAUUAUACCAAAACCUGAAGUACCAACUGUGCCAAAGCCCGAGCUACCAUCCAUCCCGAAGCCUGAGAUCCCAACUGUGCCGAAACCUGAGCUUCCAACCAUCCCAAAGCCUGAAAUACCAGUUGUCCCGAAGCCUGAGACUCCUAUUAUGCCAAAACCUGAAGUACCAAUUGUGCCAAAGCCCGAGCUACCAUCCAUCCCGAAGCCUGAGUUACCAACUUUACCAAAGCCUGAAGUACCAACUGCGCCAAACCCUGAGCUACCAACCAUCCAAAAACAUGAGUUACCAACUUUGCCAAAACCUGAAGUACCAACUGUGCCUAAGCCAGAGAUACCAGCUGCCCCAAAGCCUCCAACUUUGCCAAAGCAUGUGAUCC